GACGAACGCUGGCGGCGUGCCUAAUACAUGCAAGUAGAACGCUGAAGCGAGGAGCUUGCUCUUCUUGGAUGAGUUGCGAACGGGUGAGUAACGCGUAGGUAACCUGCCUUGUAGCGGGGGAUAACUAUUGGAAACGAUAGCUAAUACCGCAUAACAAUGGAUGACACAUGUCAUUUAUUUGAAAGGGGCAAUUGCUCCACUACAAGAUGGACCUGCGUUGUAUUAGCUAGUAGGUGAGGUAAUGGCUCACCUAGGCGACGAUACAUAGCCGACCUGAGAGGGUGAUCGGCCACACUGGGACUGAGACACGGCCCAGACUCCUACGGGAGGCAGCAGUAGGGAAUCUUCGGCAAUGGGGGCAACCCUGACCGAGUAACGCCGCGUGAGUGAAGAAGGUUUUCGGAUCGUAAAGCUCUGUUGUAAGUCAAGAACGGGUGUGAGAGUGGAAAGUUCACACUGUGACGGUAGCUUACCAGAAAGGGACGGCUAACUACGUG
Molecule: ribosomal RNA, 497 nt
Filed under: uncultured bacterium
Lineage: Bacteria
Description: partial 16S ribosomal RNA
Rfam family: Bacterial small subunit ribosomal RNA
Source: RNAcentral